This 513-nucleotide long non-coding RNA is filed under the name Mustela putorius furo (domestic ferret). Its description in RNAcentral is "lncRNA (ENSMPUG00000029770.1)". Lineage: Eukaryota; Metazoa; Chordata; Mammalia; Carnivora; Mustelidae. The record is from RNAcentral.
AAAACAGACUCUUCCUCAAACUCAGCUAAUAAACUGCUAUUAGGCAAUCCUGAGAGCAGUCCAGAGACAACCCCUCAUCCCCGAUUUUACUUUCUGCAGUUUUCCAUUAGCCACGGUCAGCUGUGGUCAGUUUGGAAGCAGAUGACCCUCCUGACGACCCUCAGAAAGUCAGAAGUGGCCUGAUGCUAGGUCACCAUGCCUACAGUGCCCGGAUGUCCUCCAUCCUGCUUCAUCUCAUCACGCAGGCAUGUUGUCACCUCCCAUCACCACAGAAACAAGGGCUCUGCUGACAAGGACUGAGAGUGGAAAUGGAGGAUAUGAGGUGGAAGCAAGGCCCUUUGUGAGGAGACCGACACAACCUCCAGACCAUGAAAAGCCAGGCGAUGUGUUAAGAUCUCUAGAAGGAAAAAAGAAGACCUUCUUGGAGCAGAGACGGAGCUAACAAAAAAAGAGUUUUAGCAACGCCGCAUGGUCUUUGAAUACAUUUUUCUCAGCUCAAAAAAACCAUUCCCU